RNAcentral lists this ribosomal RNA (257 nucleotides) under Clostridioides difficile. RNAcentral's name for it is "partial 16S ribosomal RNA". It matches the Rfam family "Bacterial small subunit ribosomal RNA", at positions 182 to 440 of the family's 1533-position model. The record is from RNAcentral. Lineage: Bacteria; Bacillati; Bacillota; Clostridia; Peptostreptococcales; Peptostreptococcaceae.
UGAGAGGCAUCUCUUGAAUAUCAAAGGUGAGCCAGUACAGGAUGGACCCGCGUCUGAUUAGCUAGUUGGUAAGGUAACGGCUUACCAAGGCGACGAUCAGUAGCCGACCUGAGAGGGUGAUCGGCCACAUUGGAACGGAGACACGGUCCAAACUCCUACGGGAGGCAGCAGUGGGGAAUAUUGCACAAUGGGCGAAAGCCUGAUGCAGCAACGCCGCGUGAGUGAUGAAGGCCUUCGGGUCGUAAAACUCUGUCCUC